CCUUACAUCCUAUCUCGGCUACACUAUACUGCAGCAUUUAAUUAUCGCUCUACUUAUCUUGGAGAAAUUCUAUUAUCUCUUAAAAUAUGGAUUCUUAAAAUCCCUCCUUAAAUUCCUUCUUCUUCGGAUUUUUCUUAAGGCCGCCUAUGGCGCCGCGGGGCGAAGCCGGUCGACCCUUCGUGUCUCAACAUGAAUAUUCUCCAUCUUUGGUAACUCAAAAUUUAUUCGGAAAUUAAUUAAUUUAUGAUCAAGCAUCCAAGCUUAAUUUCAUAAAUUAAUUCCUCUCCAACAAUAAUUAAUUUCCAAGUCCAUUAAUUUACUUGUCUAGCCCAUUCCAACAAAAAUCCCUCGGUCCAAAAUCCUCUCCAAAUGGCCCAUUCUCAAUUAAAUUCAAUGUGAGGCAGCCCGAUUGCUAAGCAAGAGGCCCAAACACCCAAACAUUAUACCUCCACUCCCAUCGGUCCCUUCUCCUCUAUCCAUCUCCCUAAAUUCCCAAAUUGAGCACACAAGGAGGCAGCGGCUUCUCCUUCAAGCUCCCCACCUCCGUCCGCCUUUCUCUUAAUUUCCGGCGAGUUCUCGCCCUAGGUGGCCUCGAUUCCCCAAACUGGACCCCUCUCCCUCAAAAUUUCGCUCCCUUGCCUUGGUCCUGCGGAGUCUUCCUCAAAGCGACGUCACCGGCACCGCGGUUGCCAUCUUCCGCCGCCUACUCCGGCGGCGCCCCCCUCCUUUGCGGACGCGCGUCGGAGUACUUCUUUCCCCCGUCGAUAGCUCUCUCACUCCUCAAAUUGAAGCUCCGCCGCCACCGUCGAUCCUCAAGAUCCAGUGCCGCCGCCUUCCUUCUUCGUGACAGAGGCUCGCACCGGCGCACCGGGCUCUCGCCCUCACUCCCGGCUGUGUAGAAAUUGCUGUUCGUCUGUUGGAGGUGGUGGGAGUUACCCCUCUCUCGGCCCCCGUAGCCUCGCCCCAGCAGCUGCUGCCUUGCGGAGGGUUCCCGGAGCUCCGCCGCUGCUCGUCCAUCGCCGGCGGCUCUGCUAUCUAAAGCUAAGUCCUCUCCCCCCUUUUCCCCGUUUGUUUCCUUGAUUACGGGUUACGACAGUAUUUGGUGAUUAGGGACUUUGUCGAGUUGUGAUCCAGUUUAAAUCUUGCUCCUUGGUUGUUAUUGUUAAAUGAGCAGUAGCUAUGUGAUAUAGGGAUCCUUGGUGUUGAGCUUGAUUGUGAUCUACUGUGGUUAAAGAGGCUAAGCCUAUGUGAUAAAGUUCAUGUUGUUGUGGUAUCUCAUCGUGUUCUAUGCUUGGCUAUCUACUGUUCUAUCGUGAUGCAAGAGUGUAAUUUCGGGUUACCUUGCUUGGUGACCUUUCUCGGUUGUGGACUGAUCUCUCGCCAUCCUCGCUCCUCUUCCCUCCCCUUCGUUGCACUUCUCGCGGUAGUGCAAUGUGAAACUUGUGGUGACCGAAAAGUGGGGGAGAAAAGGAGGGUUGUGGCUCCUUAUAUAGCUCUCAACUGUUGGCAGCUUGUGCCUGAAAACUUGGGGACAAAGUCUCUUAUUUUUGGCUGCCAGCUUGCUCCCUUUUGAGCUUUGUGAUUAUGUGAUUAUGCUAUAAUGGUGAAAUUCUUGGGAGAAAACAGCCCCUCCUUGGCUGUUUCUCAAGCCUCGAUAAGAGGGUUCCAUUCCUCCAUCCUUUUUGGCUUGUGGUUGGGUUCCCUUACCUUGUGGCAGCUGGGUUUGAUUCCCGAUUGAUGCAAGUUAAGAAGGGACAAUUGUGGCUGAUCUCACAGCUGAAAAUCGCAGCCUCUUGGCUGCCUAUUACUCCUACUAUCUUAAUUGAGCUUGUCUCUCCUCUUCCCCCUUAUGUGUUAAAAAUUUGACACCCUUUUUUGGUGUAAUUUUUGUAGGUGAGGUGGCUGCUCCUUGGAGCUACAUGGAGGGAGAAUCGAGAGGGAAGAGGAAGGAGAAAGGGGUCCCUUCUUGUAGCUACUUGGUUCUCAUACUAAAUUAGCCAACUCCUAGUCUUGCUUAUUAGAGUUGGUAGGAUGAAAAGUGUCAUGAGUGUUGUCUCUUUCACUUAUGUAACUAUGUACUAAUAGCAUCUCCAUUAUCCAUGAAGUUUUGUAUUUCCAUAUUGUACUUUUAAAUAAAAGCAUAUCUCAUACUUUUAUC
Salvia splendens (bonfire salvia) is the source of this 2158-nucleotide long non-coding RNA. RefSeq lists it as uncharacterized. The transcript has 2 exons. NCBI's taxonomy places the organism in Eukaryota, Viridiplantae, Streptophyta, Magnoliopsida, Lamiales, Lamiaceae. The record is from RefSeq and is a predicted model, not a curated record.